This 464-nucleotide ribosomal RNA is filed under the name uncultured bacterium. Its description in RNAcentral is "partial 16S ribosomal RNA". It matches the Rfam family "Bacterial small subunit ribosomal RNA", at positions 28 to 507 of the family's 1533-position model. The record is from RNAcentral.
GACGAACGCUGGCGGCGUGCUUAACACAUGCAAGUCGAACGGAAAGGCCCAGCUUGCUGGGUGCUCGAGUGGCGAACGGGUGAGUAACACGUGGGUGAUCUGCCCCUAACUUCGGGAUAAGCUUGGUAAACUGGGUCUAAUACCGGAUAGGACAAUCGUUUAGUGUCGGUUGUGGAAAGUUUUUUCGGUUAGGGAUGAGCCCGCGGCCUAUCAGCUUGUUGGUGGGGUAAUGGCCUACCAAGGCGUCGACGGGUAGCCGGCCUGAGAGGGUGGACGGCCACAUUGGGACUGAGAUACGGCCCAGACUCCUACGGGAGGCAGCAGUGGGGAAUAUUGCACAAUGGGCGCAAGCCUGAUGCAGCGACGCCGCGUGGGGGAUGACGGCCUUCGGGUUGUAAACCUCUUUCGACAGGGACGAAGCUUUGGUGACGGUACCUGUAUAAGAAGCACCGGCUAACUACGUG